UACGAAGGGGGCUAGCGUUGCUCGGAAUCACUGGGCGUAAAGCGCACGUAGGCGGACUCUUAAGUCGGGGGUGAAAUCCUGGAGCUCAACUUCAGAACUGCCUUCGAUACUGGAAAGCUCGAGUCCGGGAGAGGUGAGUGGAACUGCGAGUGUAGAGGUGAAAUUCGUAGAUAUUCGCAAGAACACCAGUGGCGAAGGCGGCUCACUGGCCCGGUACUGACGCUGAGGUGCGAAAGCGUGGGGAGCAAACAGG
RNAcentral lists this ribosomal RNA (253 nucleotides) under uncultured bacterium. RNAcentral's name for it is "partial 16S ribosomal RNA". It matches the Rfam family "Bacterial small subunit ribosomal RNA", at positions 524 to 776 of the family's 1533-position model. The record is from RNAcentral.